RNAcentral lists this ribosomal RNA (1538 nucleotides) under Salmonella enterica. RNAcentral describes it as "16S ribosomal RNA". It matches the Rfam family "Bacterial small subunit ribosomal RNA". RNAcentral also lists the same sequence under 1 other name. The record is from RNAcentral. Lineage: Bacteria; Pseudomonadati; Pseudomonadota; Gammaproteobacteria; Enterobacterales; Enterobacteriaceae.
UGAAGAGUUUGAUCAUGGCUCAGAUUGAACGCUGGCGGCAGGCCUAACACAUGCAAGUCGAACGGUAACAGGAAGCAGCUUGCUGCUUUGCUGACGAGUGGCGGACGGGUGAGUAAUGUCUGGGAAACUGCCUGAUGGAGGGGGAUAACUACUGGAAACGGUGGCUAAUACCGCAUAACGUCGCAAGACCAAAGAGGGGGACCUUCGGGCCUCUUGCCAUCAGAUGUGCCCAGAUGGGAUUAGCUUGUUGGUGAGGUAACGGCUCACCAAGGCGACGAUCCCUAGCUGGUCUGAGAGGAUGACCAGCCACACUGGAACUGAGACACGGUCCAGACUCCUACGGGAGGCAGCAGUGGGGAAUAUUGCACAAUGGGCGCAAGCCUGAUGCAGCCAUGCCGCGUGUAUGAAGAAGGCCUUCGGGUUGUAAAGUACUUUCAGCGGGGAGGAAGGUGUUGUGGUUAAUAACCGCAGCAAUUGACGUUACCCGCAGAAGAAGCACCGGCUAACUCCGUGCCAGCAGCCGCGGUAAUACGGAGGGUGCAAGCGUUAAUCGGAAUUACUGGGCGUAAAGCGCACGCAGGCGGUCUGUCAAGUCGGAUGUGAAAUCCCCGGGCUCAACCUGGGAACUGCAUUCGAAACUGGCAGGCUUGAGUCUUGUAGAGGGGGGUAGAAUUCCAGGUGUAGCGGUGAAAUGCGUAGAGAUCUGGAGGAAUACCGGUGGCGAAGGCGGCCCCCUGGACAAAGACUGACGCUCAGGUGCGAAAGCGUGGGGAGCAAACAGGAUUAGAUACCCUGGUAGUCCACGCCGUAAACGAUGUCUACUUGGAGGUUGUGCCCUUGAGGCGUGGCUUCCGGAGCUAACGCGUUAAGUAGACCGCCUGGGGAGUACGGCCGCAAGGUUAAAACUCAAAUGAAUUGACGGGGGCCCGCACAAGCGGUGGAGCAUGUGGUUUAAUUCGAUGCAACGCGAAGAACCUUACCUGGUCUUGACAUCCACAGAACUUUCCAGAGAUGGAUUGGUGCCUUCGGGAACUGUGAGACAGGUGCUGCAUGGCUGUCGUCAGCUCGUGUUGUGAAAUGUUGGGUUAAGUCCCGCAACGAGCGCAACCCUUAUCCUUUGUUGCCAGCGAUUAGGUCGGGAACUCAAAGGAGACUGCCAGUGAUAAACUGGAGGAAGGUGGGGAUGACGUCAAGUCAUCAUGGCCCUUACGACCAGGGCUACACACGUGCUACAAUGGCGCAUACAAAGAGAAGCGACCUCGCGAGAGCAAGCGGACCUCAUAAAGUGCGUCGUAGUCCGGAUUGGAGUCUGCAACUCGACUCCAUGAAGUCGGAAUCGCUAGUAAUCGUGGAUCAGAAUGCCACGGUGAAUACGUUCCCGGGCCUUGUACACACCGCCCGUCACACCAUGGGAGUGGGUUGCAAAAGAAGUAGGUAGCUUAACCUUCGGGAGGGCGCUUACCACUUUGUGAUUCAUGACUGGGGUGAAGUCGUAACAAGGUAACCGUAGGGGAACCUGCGGUUGGAUCACCUCCUUA